Molecule: ribosomal RNA, 778 nt
Filed under: uncultured Neocallimastigales
Lineage: Eukaryota; Fungi; Neocallimastigomycota; Neocallimastigomycetes; Neocallimastigales
Description: partial large subunit ribosomal RNA
Rfam family: Eukaryotic large subunit ribosomal RNA
Source: RNAcentral
UACGACUACAUAUCAGGCAUAUCAAUAAGCGGAGGAAAAGAAACUAACAAGGAUUCCCCUAGUAACGGCGAGUGAAGCGGGAAGAGCUCAAAUUUGAAAUCUUAAAGGGUUUCCCUUUACGAAUUGUAGUUUAAAGAAGUGUUUUCUGCUGGUAGUUUUGGUAAAAGUUCUUUGGAAUAGGACAUCAUAGAGGGUGAGAAUCCCGUAUUUGACCAUUACUUUCCAGCUUUGUGAUACACUUUCAAAGAGUCGGAUUGUUUGGGAAUGCAGUCCAAAAUGGGUGGUAAAUUUCAUCUAAAGCUAAAUAUUGGCGAGAGACCGAUAGCGAACAAGUACCGUGAGGGAAAGAUGAAAAGAACUUUGAAAAGAGAGUUAAACAGUACGUGAAAUUGUCAAAAGGGAAGCGUUUGACACCAGUGUUGUUUUUCCGAAAAUCAAUUAAAAAUAGACUUCAUGCUAAGUAGUAUUGACCUCAUCAGCUUGCUGCUUAGUUUUGGGUCAUCUUUUUGAUGCACUUUUCGGUUAACAAGUCAACAUCAAUUUCUUUUGCCGUAAAAAGGUAGAAGGAAGGUGGCUUUAGUUUCGGCUGAAGUGUUUAUAGCCUCCUGCCCCUGCGGUCGGAGAGAUUGAGGUCUGCAGCGUAGAUCCUUCGGGGCUAGAUACGUUUGUGCUAAGUUAUAGCUUUGUAUAGACAACAUGUUGACUAUGCUUAGUCAAGUAGCUUACUCGCAGAUAGUAUUUUACCUACGCUUAGGAUGUUGACACACGCGCGUGCUCG